AGUGAACGCUGGCGGUAGGCCUAACACAUGCAAGUCGAACGGCAGCACAGUAAGAGCUUGCUCUGACGGGUGGCGAGUGGCGGACGGGGGAGGAAUACAGCGUAACCUACUUUUUCGUUGUGGAUAACGUAGGGAAACUGACGCUAAUACCGCAUACGCUCUACGGGUGGCAGCAUGGGUUUGUCGGAGCUUGCGCGAUGGAAGGAGCCGAUGUCGGGUUAGCUAGUUGGCGGGGUGGGGGCCUGCCAAGCCGACGCUCAGUAGUUGGUCUGAGAGGAUGAUCAGCCGCCAUGGAACUGAGACAAGGUCCAGACUCCUACGGGAGGCAGCAGUGGGGAAUAUUGGACAAUGGGCGCAAGCCUGCUCCAGCCAUACCGCGUGGGUGAAGAAGGCCUUCGGGUUGUAAAGAACUUCUGUUGGGAAAGAAACGCAGCAGGUUAAUACCCCGCUGUUCUGACGGUACCCAAAGAAUAAGCACCGGCUAACUUCGUG
RNAcentral lists this ribosomal RNA (492 nucleotides) under uncultured bacterium. Its description in RNAcentral is "partial 16S ribosomal RNA". It matches the Rfam family "Bacterial small subunit ribosomal RNA", at positions 29 to 507 of the family's 1533-position model. The record is from RNAcentral.